CUUUUUAAUUGUUGUGUUCAUUAAUGUUUUGUGUUGAGAGUUGAGAGUGGUGUGAUUUGCUCUUCAAGGCCACCGUAGCAUCUAGAUUCUAAACCCAGUUCAGUGUCCACUUCACUGCAUCCCAGUGACCAGCAGGACCUCAUCAAACUAGAAUUUCAACUUGUGUAACAUCUUGUUUGGGAUGCAGUCCAAAAGCAGUGAAAUGCCAACAGGACUCUAGGAAAGCCUUGCUCAACUCUGCUGGCAGAAAUGUGUGCGUAAGAGAGGCUCAGUGACGUACUUCAACCCUCUGAAGUCUCUCAUGGAGGACAUCAGCUGAGAAAUUAUUAAUUAGUUUUGCACAUGAGUGGUAGGCUUGAAAUGCUGUCUGCUGUACUUGGAUUCUACGCACUGCUAUCUCUGCUCUCAGUGGACAGGGAGGACUGUUUACACCUAUGAAUUUAAUUACACUUGUUUUUUUUUUUUAAAUCGCAGAUCCAAAAAUAAUAAAAAUAUAUAUGUUUUGUGUUAAUUCUGGAGAUCAAUGUGACACAUGAUGUCCUGUGUGGUCUGGAGCAAAAACCAAUUGUCCAAAGCUGAAGAGAAAUCUGUAAAAUAAGGGAAAGUAUCAGACAGACUUUUUCAUAACUCGACAGGAGCCGGUAUUAAACCUACUGCUCUGGUUCAGAUGAAGAGCAGGGAUCUUUUUAAUCCCACCAAGAGACACAUAUCCUUAAACAUAAAACCAGAUGUCAGUCUUUUAGCAAAGCAGUUCCUUAUCUAAGAAGAUUACAACAUACAUACACAUCUUUUUUUG
This is a long non-coding RNA of Oryzias melastigma (Indian medaka), 796 nucleotides long. RefSeq lists it as uncharacterized. The record is from RefSeq and is a predicted model, not a curated record. Lineage: Eukaryota; Metazoa; Chordata; Actinopteri; Beloniformes; Adrianichthyidae. The transcript has 3 exons.